Molecule: ribosomal RNA, 468 nt
Filed under: uncultured bacterium
Lineage: Bacteria
Description: partial 16S ribosomal RNA
Rfam family: Bacterial small subunit ribosomal RNA
Source: RNAcentral
GACGAACGCUGGCGGCGUGCUUAACACAUGCAAGUCGAACGGAAAGGCCCUGCUUUUGUGGGGUGCUCGAGUGGCGAACGGGUGAGUAACACGUGAGUAACCUGCCCUUGACUUUGGGAUAACUUCAGGAAACUGGGGCUAAUACCGGAUAGGAGCCCCUGCUGCAUGGUGGGGGGUGGAAAGUUUCGGCGGUUGGGGAUGGACGCGCGGCUUAUCAGCUUGUUGGUGGGGUAGUGGCUUACCAAGGCUUUGACGGGUAGCCGGCCUGAGAGGGUGACCGGCCACAUUGGGACUGAGAUACGGCCCAGACUCCUACGGGAGGCAGCAGUGGGGAAUAUUGCACAAUGGGCGGAAGCCUGAUGCAGCAACGCCGCGUGCGGGAUGACGGCCUUCGGGUUGUAAACCGCUUUCGCCUGUGACGAAGCGUGAGUGACGGUAAUGGGUAAAGAAGCACCGGCUAACUACGUG